UACGUAGGGUGCAAGCGUUAAUCGGAAUUACUGGGCGUAAAGCGUGCGCAGGCGGUUUUGUAAGACAGAUGUGAAAUCCCCGGGCUCAACCUGGGAACUGCAUUUGUGACUGCACAGCUGGAGUGCGGCAGAGGGGGAUGGAAUUCCGCGUGUAGCAGUGAAAUGCGUAGAUAUGCGGAGGAACACCGAUGGCGAAGGCAAUCCCCUGGGCCUGCACUGACGCUCAUGCACGAAAGCGUGGGGAGCAAACAGG
Molecule: ribosomal RNA, 253 nt
Filed under: uncultured bacterium
Lineage: Bacteria
Description: partial 16S ribosomal RNA
Rfam family: Bacterial small subunit ribosomal RNA
Source: RNAcentral